GUGGGGAAUAUUGGGCAAUGGGCGAAAGCCUGACCCAGCAACGCCGCGUGAAGGAAGAAGGUCUUCGGAUUGUAAACUUCUUUUAUCAGGGACGAAGUAAGUGACGGUACCUGAUGAAUAAGCCACGGCUAACUACGUGCCAGCAGCCGCGGUAAUACGUAGGUGGCAAGCGUUAUCCGGAUUUACUGGGUGUAAAGGGCGCGUAGGCGGGGAUACAAGUCAGAUGUGAAAUCUAUGGGCUUAACCCAUAAACUGCAUUUGAAACUGUAUCUCUUGAGUGUCGGAGAGGUAGACGGAAUUCCUAGUGUAGCGGUGAAAUGCGUAGAUAUUAGGAGGAACACCAGUGGCGAAGGCGGUCUACUGGACGAUAACUGACGCUGAGGCGCGAAAGCGUGGGGAGCAAACAGGAUUAGAAACCCUAGUAGUCC
RNAcentral lists this ribosomal RNA (428 nucleotides) under uncultured bacterium. RNAcentral's name for it is "bacterial SSU rRNA". It matches the Rfam family "Bacterial small subunit ribosomal RNA", at positions 354 to 796 of the family's 1533-position model. The record is from RNAcentral.